This 1185-nucleotide ribosomal RNA is filed under the name uncultured fungus. Its description in RNAcentral is "eukaryotic LSU rRNA". The stretch from base 534 to 1185 matches the Rfam family "Eukaryotic large subunit ribosomal RNA", at positions 1 to 667 of the family's 3401-position model. Lineage: Eukaryota; Fungi. The record is from RNAcentral.
CUUGGUCAUUUAGAGGAAGUAAAAGUCGUAACAAGGUUUCCGUAGGUGAACCUGCGGAAGGAUCAUUACAGAGAAUAUCGCCCUCACGGGUGACUCUCCUACCCAAUGUUAUUCUAUCUUUGUUGCUUUGGCGAGCCGCCUUGGCCACCGGCUCACGCUGGUGAGUGCUCGCCAGAGGACCCAAAACUCUGAAUUAAAGUAUUGUCUGAGUACUAUAUAAUAGUUAAAACUUUCAACAACGGAUCUCUUGGUUCUGGCAUCGAUGAAGAACGCAGCGAAAUGCGAUAAGUAAUGUGAAUUGCAGAAUUCAGUGAAUCAUCGAAUCUUUGAAACGCACAUUGCGCCCUGUGGUAUUCCGCAGGGCAUGCCUGUUCGAGCGUCAGUACAACACUCAAGCUUAGCUUGGUCUUGGGCCUAGCCGGUCACGGCGGGCUUUAAAAUUAGUGGCGGUGCCACCUGGCUCUAAGCGUAGUAAUACUCCUCGCUAUUGAGUCCUGGUGGACGCUGGCCAGCAACCCCCAACUUUCUAAGUUUGACCUCGGAUCAGGUAGGGAUACCCGCUGAACUUAAGCAUAUCAAUAAGCGGAGGAAAAGAAACCAACAGGGAUUGCCUCAGUAACGGCGAGUGAAGCGGCAACAGCUCAAAUUUGAAAUCUGGCCCUCUCAGGGUCCGAGUUGUAAUUUGUAGAAGAUGCUUCGGGUGUGGCUCCGGUCUAAGUUCCUUGGAACAGGACGUCAUAGAGGGUGAGAAUCCCGUAUGUGACUGGUUGCCUUCGCCCGUGUGAAGCUCUUUCGACGAGUCGAGUUGUUUGGGAAUGCAGCUCAAAAUGGGUGGUAAAUUUCAUCUAAAGCUAAAUAUUGGCCAGAGACCGAUAGCGCACAAGUAGAGUGAUCGAAAGAUGAAAAGCACUUUGGAAAGAGAGUUAAACAGUACGUGAAAUUGUUGAAAGGGAAGCGCUUGCAACCAGACUUGCACACUGUUGAUCAUCCGGGGUUCUCCCCGGUGCACUCAGCAGCGUUCAGGCCAGCAUCGGUUUGGGUGGUUGGAUAAAGGCCUUGGGAAUGUAGCUUCUUUCGGGGAGUGUUAUAGCCCUCGGUGCAAUGCAUCCUACCCGGACCGAGGACCGCGCUUCGGCUAGGAUGCUGGCGUAAUGGUUGUAAGCGACCCGUCUUGAAACACGGACC